GCGGACGUGGCCAAGUGGAUUA
This 22-nucleotide transfer RNA is filed under the name Lewinskya hookeri. Its description in RNAcentral is "partial tRNA-His". The record is from RNAcentral. Lineage: Eukaryota; Viridiplantae; Streptophyta; Bryopsida; Orthotrichales; Orthotrichaceae.